RNAcentral lists this ribosomal RNA (496 nucleotides) under uncultured bacterium. Its description in RNAcentral is "partial 16S ribosomal RNA". It matches the Rfam family "Bacterial small subunit ribosomal RNA", at positions 28 to 506 of the family's 1533-position model. The record is from RNAcentral.
GAUGAACGCUGGCGGCGUGCCUAAUACAUGCAAGUCGAGCGAACAGAUAAGGAGCUUGCUCCUUUGACGUUAGCGGCGGACGGGUGAGUAACACGUGGGUAACCUACCUAUAAGACUGGGAUAACUUCGGGAAACCGGAGCUAAUACCGGAUAAUAUUUCGAACCGCAUGGUUCGAUAGUGAAAGAUGGUUUUGCUAUCACUUAUAGAUGGACCCGCGCCGUAUUAGCUAGUUGGUAAGGUAACGGCUUACCAAGGCGACGAUACGUAGCCGACCUGAGAGGGUGAUCGGCCACACUGGAACUGAGACACGGUCCAGACUCCUACGGGAGGCAGCAGUAGGGAAUCUUCCGCAAUGGGCGAAAGCCUGACGGAGCAACGCCGCGUGAGUGAUGAAGGUCUGCGGAUCGUAAAACUCUGUUAUUAGGGAAGAACAUACGUGUAAGUAACGGUGCACGUCUUGACGGUACCUAAGCAGAAAGCCACGGCUAACUACGU